Molecule: unclassified non-coding RNA, 406 nt
Filed under: soil metagenome
Description: partial contains 5.8S ribosomal RNA, internal transcribed spacer 2, and large subunit ribosomal RNA
Rfam family: 5.8S ribosomal RNA (bases 1-121)
Source: RNAcentral
GAUGAAGAACGUAGCGAAAUGCGAUAAGUAAUGUGAAUUGCAGAAUUCAGUGAAUCAUCGAAUCUUUGAACGCACCUUGCGCCCUUUGGCCAUUCCGAAGGGCAUGCCUGUUUGAGUAUCAUGAACACCUCAACUCUUCAUGGUUUUCCAUGAUGAGCUUGGACUUUGGGGGUCUUGCUGGCCUGUGGGUCGGCUCCUCUCAAAUGAAUCAGCUUGCCGGUUUUUGGUGGGCAUCACAGGUGUGAUAACUAUCUACGCUUGUGGUUUUCCACCAGGGUAACCUUCAGCAGUGGAGGUUCACUGGAGCUUACAAAUGUCUCUCCUCUGUGAGGACAGCCCUUUGAAUGUUUGAUCUCAAAUCAGGUAGGACUACCCGCUGAACUUAAGCAUAACAAUAAGCGGAGGA